This 253-nucleotide ribosomal RNA is filed under the name uncultured bacterium. RNAcentral describes it as "partial 16S ribosomal RNA". It matches the Rfam family "Bacterial small subunit ribosomal RNA", at positions 524 to 776 of the family's 1533-position model. The record is from RNAcentral.
UACGAAGGGGGCUAGCGUUGCUCGGAAUCACUGGGCGUAAAGGGCGCGUAGGCGGACUUUUAAGUCGGAGGUGAAAGCCCAGGGCUCAACCCUGGAAUUGCCUUCGAUACUGGGAGUCUUGAGUUCGGAAGAGGUUGGUGGAACCGCGAGUGUAGAGGUGAAAUUCGUAGAUAUUCGCAAGAACACCAGUGGCGAAGGCGGCCAACUGGUCCGAUACUGACGCUGAGGCGCGAAAGCGUGGGGAGCAAACAGG